Sus scrofa (pig) is the source of this 1665-nucleotide non-coding RNA. Lineage: Eukaryota; Metazoa; Chordata; Mammalia; Artiodactyla; Suidae. The record is from RefSeq and is a predicted model, not a curated record.
UACUGCAUCUUCUUGAGCCAAUUGUCUGUUGAUGGGUUGCUCUGGUGUCUUGGCUAUUAUAAAGAGUACUGCCAUGAACUUUGACCACCUCAACCCCCCUUUCUUUCUAGCUUGAAUGUCUCCCAGACAAUAUCCUCCCCUGGGAAUUAACGUUUAGAGUGGAUGGAUAAUCUGCCCUAAGGAGCAGAAAAAGCUGAUGGUAAACUAAAAAGAGACCUUACUCAUAUUUUCAGUAUCCCAUGUAUGGAGCCUCUCAGCCUCUCUAUCAGUGUUUCUGUGGUACUGAUAAGGAUGAGCCAUGUGGAUAAAGAAAGAAACAAUGGAAAAUAUAGUGAUGACCAUUUAUUAAACAUCUGCCCUAUGUCAGAUAUGAUACUAAGUUCCUUACUAAACCUUGUCUUAUUGAAAUCUCACAGCAACCUUCUAAGCUGCUUCCUAUUUACUCCCAUUUUGAAAAUUAGGAAACUGAGACCCGGAGAAGGAAACUCGCUUACUGAAAAAAAAAUCACACAAUUGUUUAACUGCAAAGCCAAUGUGUUUUCCACAACUACAGCACAUGGGCCUAAUGUGGUGUCUGCGUAAACACUAGUGGACGCGGGCUGCAAGCCCAGACUUGAUCAACCUGCCUUGAACGUGCUUGAGGAGCCCUCCAGAUAUGGAGCCGCAGGGAUGACUGUAUGGCCGGGUGUACCCUGGAGCCCCCCUCACCAACCAGUGUGGAGAAGGGCCGACUCCCCCUCAGGGUUCUGGAAAGAGAUCAGUCACCUGUAGCUCAAAGAUGUUAAGCACUUUGUGAAGGACCAGAAAGCUGCAAGAUAGAAUAUGUACUUCACCUGAGUGGUUGCAUAGACACUGAUCGUGCAUCCGAAUCUUUAAGAACUCAAGUGGAAAGUGUGCUUACAAAUUUAAAGACCAGAAUUACAAUGCACAGAUUGAAUUGGAAUGACUGCAAGAUUGUUUCAGGACUAUAAGACUUCUAUGUAAAAAGAAGUUAAUAAAAGGCGUAUUAAGGUAAGUCCCUUAUAAUUAUGAUUUUGAACAAACUGCUUUAAAUUAUGCUAUGGCAUGAACUGAUAAAAAAAAAAAGUGAAUAGAGGAAUGUCAGGAUGGUUGGGGCUCAGAGCCCAGAACAACAGCCCAAGGCAGUCAUAAAGAGAAAACUAUGCUUGCCCCUGCAACCAGAAGUCCAGAAAGAAUUAGCUCAGAGACAAAACAGGAAAAGACUUUGUUUCUCAAUGAUUUCAGUAUGCCGAAGGCAAUAGCUAAGAUUGAGACUAAAGAGUAUGGAUGUAAUGGGAACCUACAGAAAUACCACACGGUUGCUCUUGUUACUGUUAUUUUUUAAAAUCUUAGUCUCGGCAUUGUUUGAAAGGUAAUAAACAAGCUGAGUCUAAAUUUCAGGUGGAAAAAUAAGCAGCAAGGAUUUUAAGGGAAAUUCUGACAAAUUCAAUGAUGGGGCACUAGCUUUUUCCCCUAUAUGCCACUAGAAACUGAAACAGUAGUUCUGGAGCAUGAAUGGACACAAAAAGCAAUGGUACAGAAUAGAAUUCAAGAAUAAAAUGUAAAGAUAUGGAGAAAUCAGGGAUGCUGUCCCAAAUUUAUGGGAUAUUUUAUUUCAGAGCCUCUUAAUGUCACUUACUGAUUUAGCAUAUGGCAAAAAAAAAA